Molecule: long non-coding RNA, 653 nt
Organism: Teleopsis dalmanni
Lineage: Eukaryota; Metazoa; Arthropoda; Insecta; Diptera; Diopsidae
Exons: 3
Source: RefSeq, a predicted model, not a curated record
AGGCAACGUGAAGUUGUGACUUAUCCUCAUUCCAAUCCUAUCGAAGCUUUAAGGUUACUUACAACGCAGUUCUGAAGAUGUUUGAUGAAGUUUGGAUUUGUGGAAUUUAUUGUUGGUAGAGAUUGUUUCACAACAGCAACUGUUAGAGCAAAUGGAAAAAAUCUUUAUAAAAUCUUUAGGUGCAGAAAUUAAUGAAGAUUUUCAUACUUCAUGAAACUGAUUUGAAUUAAAUUUCAGUUGGUGUGUUACCUGAAUAAUCAAACAAUAGAAGAUGAUGGAAUUUUAUUAAGAAAAUUGGACUGUUGAGUUUUUAUUAUGCAUGCCGACGAAUGCACCACUUUGUUUUUUACUACAGAGCUCCCAAAUUCAUGAACAUCCAUGUCUGUGGCACGACAAUUGAAUAGGGAAUAGUUAUGGAUGUAAGGAAAAAAUCACACUUCUUUCAAAGACAAUACUAUGGAUACUUUCAAAUUAAUUUUAUUUUAUUAUAUAUUCUAAUCAAGAGUAUUGAUUCAACAUUGGAAUUCUUUUAAAAUUAGGGACAGAUGUCAAGGCUUGGACUUACUUUUCAUUUAUUGAUACACAAACUUUUAGAAAAAUUUAUUAAAUAUUGACAAUUUGAAACUGGAUGGAUGCCAUGUGAGUAAAUUAUA